This 137-nucleotide ribosomal RNA is filed under the name uncultured eukaryote. Its description in RNAcentral is "partial 18S ribosomal RNA". It matches the Rfam family "Eukaryotic small subunit ribosomal RNA", at positions 1299 to 1458 of the family's 1831-position model. The record is from RNAcentral.
UGGUGGAGUGAUUUGUCUGCCUAAUCGCGAUAACGAACGAGACCUUAACCUGCUAAAUAGCCCGCGCCGCUCCGGCGGCGCGCCGGCUUCUUAGAGGGACUAUCGGCUCAAGCCGAUGGAAGUUUGAGGCAAUAACA